Molecule: ribosomal RNA, 799 nt
Filed under: uncultured bacterium
Lineage: Bacteria
Description: bacterial SSU rRNA
Rfam family: Bacterial small subunit ribosomal RNA
Source: RNAcentral
AGAGUUUGAUCCUGGCUCAGAGUGAACGCUGGCGGCAGGCCUAACACAUGCAAGUCGAACGGCAGCACAGCAGUAGCAAUACUGUGGGUGGCGAGUGGCGGACGGGUGAGGAAUACAUCGGAAUCUACCUUGUCGUGGGGGAUAACGUAGGGAAACUUACGCUAAUACCGCAUACGACCUACGGGUGAAAGCGGAGGACCGCAAGGCUUCGCGCGAUAAGAUGAGCCGAUGUCGGAUUAGCUAGUUGGCGGGGUAAUGGCCCACCAAGGCGACGAUCCGUAGCUGGUCUGAGAGGAUGAUCAGCCACACUGGAACUGAGACACGGUCCAGACUCCUACGGGAGGCAGCAGUGGGGAAUAUUGGACAAUGGGCGCAAGCCUGAUCCAGCCAUACCGCGUGGGUGAAGAAGGCCUUCGGGUUGUAAAGCCCUUUUGUCCGGAAAGAAAAGCAUCGGGCUAAUACCUCGGUGUUCUGACGGUACCGGAAGAAUAAGCACCGGCUAACUACGUGCCAGCAGCCGCGGUAAUACGUAGGGUGCGAGCGUUAAUCGGAAUUACUGGGCGUAAAGCGUGCGCAGGCGGUUGUGUAAGACAGGUGUGAGAUCCCCGGGCUUAACCUGGGAACUGCGCUUGUGACUGCACGGCUAGAGUAUGGCAGAGGGGGGUGGAAUUCCACGUGUAGCAGUGAAAUGCGUAGAGAUGUGGAGGAACACCGAUGGCGAAGGCAGCCCCCUGGGCCAAUACUGACGCUCAUGCACGAAAGCGUGGGGAGCAAACGGGAUUAGAUACCCUGGUAGUCC